GACGAACGCUGGCGGCGUGCUUAACACAUGCAAGUCGAACGGAAAGGCCCUGCGUUUGUGGGGUUACCGAGUGGCGAACGGGGGCGUAACACGUGAGUAACCUGCCCUAGACUUUGGGAUAACUUCAGGAAGCUGGGGCUACUACCGGACAGGAGCUCCUGCUGCAUGGUGGGCGGGGGAAAUUUUCGGCGGUUGGGGAUGGAUGCGCGGCUUAUGAGCUUGUUGGUGGGGGAGGGGCUUACCAAGCCUUGGACGGGUAGCCGGCCUGAGAGGGUGGCCGGCGACAUUGGGACUGAGAUACGGCCCAGACUCCUACGGGAGGCAGCAGUCGGGAACAUGGCCCAAUGGGCGGGAGUCUGAGGCAGAAACGCCGCGUGCGGGAUGACGGCCUUCUGGGUAUAAACCGCUUUCGCCUGUGACGAAGCGUGAGUGACGGUACUGGGUAAAGAAGCACCGGCUAACUACGUG
Molecule: ribosomal RNA, 468 nt
Filed under: uncultured bacterium
Lineage: Bacteria
Description: partial 16S ribosomal RNA
Rfam family: Bacterial small subunit ribosomal RNA
Source: RNAcentral